RNAcentral lists this long non-coding RNA (4903 nucleotides) under Pelobates cultripes (western spadefoot toad). The record is from RNAcentral. Lineage: Eukaryota; Metazoa; Chordata; Amphibia; Anura; Pelobatidae.
UAGAAGAUCUGUCUUCUAUAGAAUGUAGAGUCUGCAGCAAUAAGAGUUAAUACUUAAAGUUCCAUAACAUUAACAUAUUUAAACUUUUGCAAAUAGGAUUUUUUUAAAUAGAAUUAAAACCAUAACUGUCUCUUUAAGGACACCAAACACUGAAUUGAAGUGAGAACCAAAAUUGCAAAAUUUAGGCUGAAGCAACUGAUUGGGAAAGAUUCUUCAACUCAGCUAUAGUUACAGUUUGACUUUUUUAGCAUAAAUUGUACAAUUUAGCAUAUAGUUUACUGCAAUUUGAUGUUUAAUAAUUAAACUGUUUACUUUUUGAUAGAUCCAUUUUUGAUGCAGAAGGUUAGGGCUUGUUGAAAGGGUUAAUGGUAGGAGAACACUCAACCUCUAAGUAUCUAGAGAGAUGGCUGACAUCCAAAACUUUGUUAUCGAUAAUUUUUUCAAGUCCAAAAUAAAUAAUUCGGAAGCCAAACCCAGUCCGGUAUCUUUAUUUUCUGUCCCAACUUUAACACCUUAAGGUGUGACCAUGCACUAGCACUAAAACUGCAAACAUUGUCAUUUACAUUGUAAUGUAUCUAGUAUGGUGUGUUUGUAUUAUGUCAGUUCUGACACUGUUUCUGGAAAAUCAUUAGUUUCUACCUCCCAGGCAUCCCUAGCUGCAGAGCCUUUAAAUAUUGCUGAGAUGAUGAGAGUUUAAACAAACAGCCCAGUUUCAUUUGCUUUUAAGAUUGAUGCUAAUCAAACAUAAUGAUUUCAGUAUAUUUUGGUACUUUAAAUGGACAUUAUUCAAAGUCAAGUCAGCUGUAAUAAGUACUUAGGAUCCUUUGUUUAAGAUAACGUAUUAAUGCACUGAGAAUUGUUUUUUUAUGGUAGAUGUGGAAAAUAAGCUGUAGGGCGAUGCAAGUGGAAUGGCUUACUGUCUUCUAAUGAAAAUUGAUCUACUGGAUCAGUGGACCCAUUGGUAAAUGAAAUGCCUUCCUGACCGAUAACCACAAUCUAUUCAUCUCUGUGAACUGGGAAGGCUGAACGUUGCUUGGGAAGAUGCAAUAUAUUAAAAUCCCAUUAGCUGGUGGCCAAGAAGGCUGCAAAAGGAUGGCAGUAUGACUUGUCCAUGAUCUGUUGAAUCAGAUGGGCAAAUAGGUCAACUAGAUUUGUGCGAAAAUUUUGAAAUUUUGUCCCCUUGAGCCUCUCACUUCGGGUUCUUAUGCCGAUGAUCAAGCAUACAGCUCCACUAACUUGUGAUCAACAUUUAGACUAGUGGUUCAGUUGGGCAGAUUGUGGAAUUGCUUGCUCCCUUGGUUUGAAAUAUAUUUCUGAUCUGCUAGAUGAUCUGCAUCUGAUGAGUGUGCGUGACAUCAUCAUCGAUGCACAGCAUCAGCUGGACAGAUUUGAACUGGAACGCUCAACUAGUUUCAGAUCAAUCCCUGAGCUACUGGAUUGGCUGGGACUAGCUGAGCAUGUUACAAGAUACAUUGUCCAUUCCAUCAACUUGCACCAACAUCUGAUCUAUAGUAAUUGGCAGUUUUGUUAAAUAGUACUUAAACUCUGAUGAUGAAUCUCAUGGCAUGUGGUUUUAUAGACUCCCAUAUGCUACAUGACCGCUAGCUUGUAGAGGGAAUUCAAUUUAGUUAGGAAGAUCUGAGCUAUAGCCUUUUAUAAUAUAUUCUUGUCUUACAUAUUGUCAACUUGAGAAAAUGUCAAUUUAAUUGCGAAACAUGUUGACAAACUGAUCUCUUCUACGUCACUCUAGAAAUCAGAUACCAAAGUUGUCGUGUUCAGAGAAAACAUAUGGAAAUGUUUGUGUUCUAUCACAACCUAAUUAGUGGUUGGCAAAUAAUAAUGUUUUAACUUGGCCAUUUGAUUUAAAAAACACAAUAUUAUAUAUGUAUAUAUAUAUAUACUCACACACAGUUUUAUCCUCAUUGACCUUGAUAUAAUUCUUCUGGAUCAGCAUCAGAAAUUAUUCCAAUCUGUUAGAAAAAAACGUUUCAAAUUAUUUAUCAACAUAAAAUCCCAUAGACCUUAAUGAUGAUUUCUGUAGAUAAUUAAUUUCUGGAAUCAUUUCUGAUGCUGAUUGAAACAAAUUGAAUUCAAGCCAUAGUCAGUAAUAGGCAUGCACUAUAGAUAUAAGGAAUCGCAGCAAUUUAUAAAACAAACAUUUUGUUUCCUGCUUGGAACACUUAUUUUGUCUAGCCUGGUCCACUGUUUUGUUGAAUCUUAAAUACUACCUUGUAUCAGUAUGUCAUUGCUAAACCCAUUUGGUACAUCAUUUCUGUUUUCUGCUUUUAUCAAUGUUGAAAUGCCAAAGACUUGUGAAGGUAAUCGAUUGUGUUGUAUCAGCUUGGAUCAGCAAUAGAGAUUGUAUUUGAGCCAUAUUUUGGCCAAGAACGUACUUUCUGAAUGUAAUUCAAUGAGUAAAUAGCUGAAUUCUAUGUAUGUGUGUCAUGUCCAUUGGGCAACAUGUAGUUGCUAGUUUCAAAGAGUCACAUUUACGUCUACAUCUAGGUUUUCCAACUUAGAGUGCUUAAGAAACAUAAAAUUAUAGUUUUUAUAUACAAAUUUACAUAAUUCUCCAUAUUCAAAUAGACUAGAAAACAAAUCUACUAAAAUGUUUAUGUGAAUCCAUCACAACAUAAUAUGCAGUAAUGCAGACAAAACACGUUUUUGUUUGUAUGUUAUUUUUUCCGAACACGUGAGGGAAGAUUGAUGAAAGUGUUGCUAGUAGAAGAUGUAAUUUGACAUCCCCCCAAUUGAUUGUUUGAGUAGAUUUUUUUUAUGUGUUACAGACACACACACACACAUUGAUAUACACAUAUACACAUACCCAAAUUCCUGUACACACACACACAUGCAUAUUCACUCACACUUAUAUGCAAAAACAUAUAUUCACACAAUCACAUUCAUAAACACACUUAUGUUUAUACACACACAAAUAUUUAUUCCUGGUGUCUAGUUUUAGGCUGCUGGGAUGAGUCUGCGCUCUGAUUGCACAGCCACCUGCAGCUCUGUACUGACCCCGGGUCAUGUUACGUACAGGUACUUGGCAUUAGCACAGGGCUGCGAGGGAGCUGUGCAGUCAGAGCACAGACUGAUCCCAGGAGUUCCUCUGUCACCCACUCUCUGCCUCAUUCUGAAUGUGAAGUGCUGGCACUGGCCACACAAUUCCGCUGCUGGUAUGCAGGUGCCUGCUCUGCUGACAGUGGGAUGUUUGGAGCACCCUGUGCCCCUACUGUUUAUAACAAUUGGAUUAUGAGGAAAAAAAGUGUAAACAAAGUUUUCCUGCAUGCAUAUUACACAUUGUUGUGUCCAGAAAAUUUCAGAGGAAGCAUUGAAUUCAGUAUAGAACCACUGGCAGUCAGAAUAGGUUUUCUUUAGAUGUGCUACCAUGUUGCUUAGCUAUAAAGACUAAUCUAAUUUCAAAGAUUCUGCUGCAAAAAUAUAUAGGACACAGAAAUACAAGUAUGCAAAACAAGAAUUUUCAUACAUCUCCGAUAGAGGCAGAAAUAUGUCUUAUUUCAUGAGCAAAUACAUAACUUUAACAACUUUUUUUAUCUGAAAUUAACCAAUCACGGUUUUAUUCACUUCCAUCCAGUACACAUCUGAAAUAUUUAUUCCUCAUUCAAACAUUUUCCUAAAUCUAAACAACAGAAGGGUUUAUCCCUAACACAAUAAACACACUUUAAAAACAGUAACUACAGUUAUGAUAACACACACACAUAUACACAUAAACACACACACCUUCAGCGGAAUCACUGGCACAGCAUGUAACGUGCCAGCAUCUGUUUCAGCAAUCACCAAUGUACAAUUCUUUAGUUGACAAUGAACAUUGGAACAUACAGUGGGUGACGUUGAGAAAGGUUAAAAAGGCACAAAAAUGCACCUUCCACUUUAGGCAGAUCUUGUUAGAAGCAAGCCAAUCCUGCCAAAAUAAUGUGACGUGCUAAUUCUUUUCCUGGAGCAGAUCUGCAAUGGUAGACCAGUUAAUAAAUAUAUACACACUCAAAAAUAGGCCCUGCACUCAAGCUCCCAUUACUCUUGGGCAGCUAUGCUAUCCAUCAUCCCAAAUACAUAAAAUAAAAGUUAAAAAUGUUACCUGCGCUCUAUCCCAAAUCCCUAUGCAAUUAUAAAUAACAGGAGGUUUUCAGUACCACUCCAGGUUAAUAUAUAUCAGAAUUAAUAUAUUAUUAGCUGUAGCGCCAUAUUUUUUUGACAAACGUUCGAACAUUUACUUCAUUUCUUAUUAUUUCGUUCGUUUAUGUAAAAUAUCUAUUGCUCAAACACUUGAACAAGAAAAGGAAGUGUUAUUUUUGUAAUCUACAUGAAAGGAAAUAAUAAAUUUAUGUUAUGAUUGUAUUGAUCUCUUGGAAGGGUAAGGAACUGCUUUUUAUAUUGAAUAUUUUAAACAUUAACUUCUAACCAAAAAAAAAAAAAAUUACAAAAAAAUAUCAGUUUUAAAAAUGUAAUAUAUUUAAUGUUAUAUGAACCUUUAACUAAUGUCUUGAAAUUAGAAUUCUUAUUUUUUACAAGGCAAGAAUCAAUGCAAAUAACGUUUGAUCAGCGUGCAACGAUGUGCAACAAUGUAUAUUGUGAAAGUGGGCUAUUUACUGCUCGUGUCAAUGUAUGUACCAGUGCAUUGCACUAUUUCAUUGGGGGAACAUUGUAUAGUGGACUCUCGCACGCUGUUUUAGAAUUGCACUGCUGUAGACAUGAAUCGGUAACUAACUUGCUGUCUCCAUUCUUUGGAACAAUAUAUUGUAGACAAACUAUUAGGAUAUGGGGCAUUUUAGCAAAAUGUUAGAUCGUGGACACUCCUUAUUCUGUGAAAUAGCAUAGGGCGUGUUUCUGUGUAUUUAAGCAUUAUAGCAACAUUUAAAAUGCAUUUUUCUCUACGUUAGUGUCAAUG